RNAcentral lists this long non-coding RNA (296 nucleotides) under Bubo bubo (Eurasian eagle-owl). RNAcentral's name for it is "lncRNA (ENSBOBG00000000687.1)". The record is from RNAcentral. Lineage: Eukaryota; Metazoa; Chordata; Aves; Strigiformes; Strigidae.
AUAUUUAAGGCAGGUGGCCAUUUUAAAAUGUACGUUUCAAUUUUGAUUGCAGUUUUUUAAUUGCAUUUAACAGCGUCCCUGCUGGUUCUCCAUUCUGCAUCCGUGCAGCCACGUUCUAUUGAUGGCCUGUUGUGAUUUCAAUGGAACAUCAUGGGAUGUACCUGGCACGUCGGGCAGCACUGGAUGGAGGUGCCUUUAGCCCAAUGUACCUGGCAUGGAGCUGGUAGCAGUUGAGCAUGUAUUGCCCAUGUUCCCAAUGUCCAGACGUUGCCGCACAGAGGUGGUAAGGUGAAGGU